RNAcentral lists this ribosomal RNA (143 nucleotides) under Sarcocystis tenella. RNAcentral's name for it is "partial 18S ribosomal RNA". It matches the Rfam family "Eukaryotic small subunit ribosomal RNA", at positions 1687 to 1827 of the family's 1831-position model. Lineage: Eukaryota; Apicomplexa; Conoidasida; Eucoccidiorida; Sarcocystidae. The record is from RNAcentral.
GAUUGAGUGUUCCGGUGAAUUAUUCGGACCGUCCCGUUAACGCGCGGCAACGCGUGUGCGGAAUGGAAAGUUUUGUGAACCUUAACACUUAGAGGAAGGAGAAGUCGUAACAAGGUUUCCGUAGGUGAACCUGCGGAAGGAUC